GUGGGGAAUCUUGCGCAAUGGGCGAAAGCCUGACGCAGCCAUGCCGCGUGAAUGAUGAAGGUCUUAGGAUUGUAAAAUUCUUUCACCGGGGACGAUAAUGACGGUACCCGGAGAAGAAGCUCCGGCUAACUUCGUGCCAGCAGCCGCGGUAAUACGAAGGGGGCUAGCGUUGCUCGGAAUUACUGGGCGUAAAGGGCGCGUAGGCGGACAGCUUAGUCAGAGGUGAAAGCCCAGGGCUCAACCUUGGAAUUGCCUUUGAUACUGGCUGUCUUGAGUACGGGAGAGGUGAGUGGAACUCCGAGUGUAGAGGUGAAAUUCGUAGAUAUUCGGAAGAACACCAGUGGCGAAGGCGACUCACUGGCCCGUUACUGACGCUGAGGCGCGAAAGCGUGGGGAGCAAACAGGAUUAGAUACCCUGGUAGUCC
RNAcentral lists this ribosomal RNA (425 nucleotides) under uncultured bacterium. Its description in RNAcentral is "partial 16S ribosomal RNA". It matches the Rfam family "Bacterial small subunit ribosomal RNA", at positions 354 to 796 of the family's 1533-position model. The record is from RNAcentral.